RNAcentral lists this ribosomal RNA (253 nucleotides) under uncultured bacterium. RNAcentral's name for it is "partial 16S ribosomal RNA". It matches the Rfam family "Bacterial small subunit ribosomal RNA", at positions 524 to 776 of the family's 1533-position model. The record is from RNAcentral.
UACAGAGGGUGCGAGCGUUAAUCGGAAUUACUGGGCGUAAAGCGCGCGUAGGCGGCUUUUCAAGUCGAUUGUGAAAUCCCCGGGCUUAACCUGGGAACUGCAGUCGAGACUGUCUAGCUAGAGUAUGGGAGAGGGAAGUGGAAUUUCAGGUGUAGCGGUGAAAUGCGUAGAUAUGACAUAGAACACCAAUUGCGAAGGCAGCUGGCUACACGAAUAUUGACACUGAUGCACGAAAGCGUGGGGAUCAAACAGG